RNAcentral lists this ribosomal RNA (368 nucleotides) under uncultured organism. Its description in RNAcentral is "bacterial SSU rRNA". It matches the Rfam family "Bacterial small subunit ribosomal RNA", at positions 526 to 896 of the family's 1533-position model. The record is from RNAcentral.
CGAAGGUGGCAAGCGUUGUUCGGAUUUACUGGGCGUACAGGGAGCGUAGGCGGUUCGGUAAGCCCUUUGUGAAAUCUCCAGGCUUAACCUGGAACAGUCGGAGGGGACUGCCGGGCUAGAGGGCGGGAGAGGAGCGCGGAAUUCCCGGUGUAGCGGUGAAAUGCGUAGAGAUCGGGAGGAAGGCCGGUGGCGAAGGCGGCGCUCUGGAACGUUUCUGACGCUGAGGCUCGAAAGCGUGGGGAGCAAACAGGAUUAGAUACCCUGGUAGUCCACGCCUUAAACUAUGAAUACUAAGUGUCGGCGGGUUACCGCCGGUGCCGCAGCUAACGCAUUAAGUAUUCCGCCUGGGAAGUACGGCCGCAAGGUUG